AAUAGAUACCCCGGUAGUCCACGCCGUAAACGAUGAGUGCUAAGUGUUAGAGGGUUUCCGCCCUUUAGUGCUGCAGCAAACGCAUUAAGCACUCCGCCUGGGGAGUACGGCCGCAAGGCUGAAACUCAAAGGAAUUGACGGGGGCCCGCACAAGCGGCGGAGCAUGUGGUUUAAUUCGAAGCAACGCGAAGAACCUUACCAGGUCUUGACAUCCUCUGCCACUCCUAGAGAUAGGACGUUCCCCUUCGGGGGACAGAGUGACAGGUGGUGCAUGGUUGUCGUCAGCUCGUGUCGUGAGAUGUUGGGUUAAGUCCCGCAACGAGCGCAACCCUUGAUCUUAGUUGCCAGCAUUCAGUUGGGCACUCUAAGGUGACUGCCGGUGACAAACCGGAGGAAGGUGGGGAUGACGUCAAAUCAUCAUGCCCCUUAUGACCUGGGCUACACACGUGCUACAAUGGAUGGUACAAAGGGUCGCGAAACCGCGAGGUCGAGCCAAUCCCACAAAACCAUUCUCAGUUCGGAUUGCAGGCUG
Molecule: ribosomal RNA, 532 nt
Filed under: uncultured bacterium
Lineage: Bacteria
Description: bacterial SSU rRNA
Rfam family: Bacterial small subunit ribosomal RNA
Source: RNAcentral